CCCGGUGGGCAGUGCGAAUUACAUGAGCGUUAGCAUGCUAACGCGAGUUAGCAGCCAGCCCAGCGAGCUGGCCCAACCUGCACGCAUGCGCGAGUCACGUGGGCACGCGCCCUUCAAUAUCCUGUACAAUGGGGCUGUUAAGUGAUGACGUCACAGUUCCUUCGAUACGCAUAGCAACGAUCCCACUGGGGACAAACAAAAGUAGCGUCGUCCCCACCGACCCAGUUGUCAGUGGCAACAUAUAGGAAUCGUGUACAUUUCUUCGUUUCUUCUUUGCUGUUUUCAGUGAGUGUUUUGUUUUCUCUUUGUCCUUGAUCUCGACGAUGUUGUCGUGCUCAUUACCUUACUGAGACGUCUCUUGUGACUGUAGCCAGUGUCAUGGAGGAUUUUAUUGGCGUGACAAGGUAGAUCGCCGAGAUCGAGCGUGAAAAACGCUCUGCAUUAGUAGCUCCUGUAGAAUGUUUUCUGGGUUGGCGUAUCCAUGGUCAACAAAACCAAGGUGCAAGACAGCAUGAGAGAUCGUGUAAACGAUGUGAACUCCAAAAGAUAAUCUGGCCAAAUUUAUUGUAACUAGAGAGUGCAAUCGUGAACUGCUUGGGGCCCAUCCCAAUGUCAUCACAUGGCUGUGGUGACUAGUGUAUAUCUGGGAGAAUUUCUCCUCGACUGAUACGGAGUGCAGGUGGAUCGAUUAUGAGAAAUGCGAACAUGUGAAGUUCAAGGCUAGAUGCACUUCACAUUCGGCGUGCGAUCUCAGCGUCUGGGACCUGAUGAAGUCUUGGUUGGAUGAUUAUUCAAGCCUGAUACUACUCGACACACCAAUGUUCAUGUCAAUGUAAUUUUUUCAGAGCUGCACUAUUUACGUGUUGACGCUUACUUCGGUGUUAGCGUGUUUCCCCCGGAUUGUUUCUAUCAUCAUGAUCGUGUGUUCUUGGGCUGAGCGAGCACAUGCACAAAUGUGCAGCUAUAACCCUGUGUAUUUUUGGUUACACUUUGUUCUGCAAUGCAUGUACCUUGUAACAUUAUGUGCUUGCACUGCUUUGUCUGGCCUGCGUAUUUCAGGACUAUUCAGUGCAUUAGACCCAGGUUUGUUUGGUUACCGGAUGACCUCUUGUUGCGUCGCUCUGUAUUUGUAUUCAUCAAUUUUUGGGCUUGAGAAUUGAGCUGUUGUGUGGUUCCCAAUAUGAAAACAUCAUGCUGGUGCUCUGUGUUUCGAUUAUCGACUGUCGGAGCAGUCCUGCAUUUAUUAGCAGAACGGUCAAUACUGUAGUCUUUUCACGUGUUUGUCUUUUUUGUGUUUUCGCCGGGGGUAUUAGCGGUAACGUUGCACACAGAACGGCAGUGUUGCAUCACUGGACGACCCUGCCUCUGCAUCUGACUUAAUUUCCCCAGGAUCUGGUGCAGUUACACCAGACAGCCACUUCCUGUAAACACGCAAACAGCAAAAGAAGAGAUCCCGCAAAUCAGGAAAAAACAUGGAAAAUAAAAUUCAAAAUAUAGAGUACUUCUUUUUGAAGUAGAUCAUACAACAUUCAAUAAUCUGGAGUAAUUACAGUGAGACAAACACUUCAAACAGUGCUCUCUCUCUCUCUCUCUCUCUCUCUGUCUCCAUCCUUCCAAAAAUACCCUAUGACAAUUCCCUAGAAUUAUUUUAUUUUAUAUUCUUAGGACAUCAUUCUGAACAUAAUAAAUUCUUCCAUGGGUCUUCCAUCACCACGGAGGGCGAAAAUAUAUCUAAGUCAUGCAGUUUACGGGAGGUACGAGCUGUCAUGGAUAUAGAGGCUGAUAUUGUGCCAGCGUGAGGGCAGAGACAGAAAGAAGACACUGAUUUCUUGAACAACUCACCUAUAUAUAAUCGAAUCCACAAGGAGCGCUCAUACUUUGAUCCAUCAGGACGCGAAACAUCUUCAAAGCACUCUCAAACACGGAGUUUUACUGUGGGCAGCCAAUUUCACAGCCAUCAUGAAGGCACUCGACGACUACAGGAUUUUUGUAGAGGAAAGAACAAGGAGUAAAGAGCGACAACAAUCGCUUGAAGAAAAAGCAAAGAAAAACAACUGUCUCUCCAGUCAUUUAGAUGCUGUUGCCCUUGACAUCUGGUUCCAUCCAGAGGACGCGACUUUUGUUUGUCCCCAGUGCUCUCCGUUGCUAUGCGUAUCGAAGGAGCCGUGACGUCACACUUAACAGCCCCAUGUCUCUUUCAUGUCAUUGCUGUUUGGACUUUCGAGCGUGCAACUUGCGGAACAGGUGUUCCCGAAACAAUUUCCUUUUUUCCUUUCGUUAGACUUUCAAGCUUGCAUUCUCGUAUCUCUGCGUUUCAAUUCAGACUUCAUUGACGCCUGUUGGUGCCUGUUGGUGCCUGAAACAAUGUCGUCGUCUACAGUGGAACGUCGACUGUGGUUUUUUAGCUUGCGCCAUCAUCAGGUUUCCUGAAAUGAAGUACCUCCACGCGAUCUCAGCGACCCUUGUUUGUCACUUUGUGCCUUGAAACAAUGUCGUCGUCACCAACCGGCGUCCAGCCUCUCCGGAUCGCCUCGCUCUACCUGGCUCCGCCGCUCGCCUACUGCGAACGCAGCGACGGCCGCCACGCAGCACCACCACUGCAACAGCAGGCGCGAGCCUGACGAUCGUAAUUCGUAUCCAGAGAGGCGAGUUCGUGGACUUUGAUUUUCUGUUGGAAGUAACAACGGGAGUUGUCCACUGCCGUCACCAACGCCACCCAGCUUCUCCUCGCUCUACUUGGAUCCGUAUCGCCGCUCGCCGCCAGCAGGCCGGACCCUACUGGGAGCCCGGUGCAGUGACGACCGCCAUAUGCGCAUGCAGCACCAACAGCAGGUGAACCUGACUGUCCUAUACGGGCCCUUCUCGAUCGCGUCCAGAGAGGCGAGUUCGUGGACUUCGAUUUCCUGCUGCCCGAUACAGUUGCAGUCAGUCCAGCUCCGGCGACGUUCCAACUCCGUAGCCCCUCAUAUGUUGCUCUUCUGGCGCACUAGCAUUUAUUUGAAUCCGAACCCAGAACUGCGCUUCGUAGGCUGCAUGACGGUAGCACUUGAGUUGAGACCUGGACAGUGUUCAUGAAUGGUCUGUGUUCCACUGUUCCUCACCGCGUUUCACGAGUGCCUGUGGACGUAUUUGGCCACGAUCGUCGCGGCCAAUCGCCAGCUUUUGCCACCUAGAAACUGGACGUUAUCAAUACUCAAUCUGCGGACAACUGUUUCGUCCUUUGUGGACUCAUCAGCGCAGCACAGAGGGAAUUAAGCCGAACCUGAUAGCAAUGGAAAAUAAAAUAAAUCUCCAAAGCCAGGUUAUCAAUAUCAACUUGUGGCAACUGCGCCUCGCGGUGUACUGGAACAGCACGACCCGCCUGCCAGCAGUGCAGCUCAGUGCACUCGCCAGCAUUUCCGUGCGCAUUUCGUCCUACUCACCAGUACAGAUCCGCAUCCCGUACCGCAACCGUAUGCCGCUACUACGAGUACGGCGCUUGCACGCGUCAGCUCAGGCAGUGCUACCUCCAGUGCCGACAGGAGCAUCCCAGGGCAAAGUGUAAGGCCUCAUCAGUAACUGUGUAAGCACUCAGUUUCUCACUUCUCAAAAUUACUGGACUCACAUCCUGAUCCUAUGCUCCGGAGGUAUGUUGCACAUGGUCGUAAUUGUGGGGUUGUGGUAGGUUUCAUCGGCAACCACUCAACUAACUGGGAUCCAUUGAAUUUAACACGGUCACAUGCUAACCCAGAUUAUAUUUCUGCGCAACGAUCCGUUUCUUGCAGCAGGCUUGAAACAGCUGGCUGAUCCGUUUCUUGCAGCAGGCUUGAAACAGCUGGCCCGUGUUCUUCACCCCCUUUCUCGCCUCUGUGCUGUUCCGGCGUAGAUGCGGUUCCUAGACGAACGGGAAGUUACACACGACACACCCUUUGUAAAGCCUGGAGGGUCGAAGUGUCAACGAUUACAUUCCAGCAGACCGUGUCUCUCCACAAUGUCAAGAUGACAAUGCUGCAAACAUGAUUAGACAAUUGCUCGCCCCGCUGUAUCUUGCUAAGCUCAAUGUUAAAAGUGCAUUCUGCCGAAUUCCCGUCUGCCCGGAGGAGUGGCCCUUGUUGAACCGCUGGCAGGAUCAAUACUGUUAUGAGAGCGUCCUGCCCUUCAGACUGUACUACGCUCCAGGCCAGCUAUAUGGAACUCUGUCGCAUCCGCCAGUGAAUGGAUUGUGUGCGGGCAGUUCGCACUCCCACGCCUGUUGCAUUACGGGGAAUACCUCAAUUAAUGUUACUUCCUCAAUGCAUGCUCUGGACUUGUGUUACCUCGCCAGCAACUCGCUAUUCU
Molecule: long non-coding RNA, 4317 nt
Organism: Sycon ciliatum
Lineage: Eukaryota; Metazoa; Porifera; Calcarea; Leucosolenida; Sycettidae
Exons: 3
Source: RefSeq, a predicted model, not a curated record